GCAAAGGAAUGGGAUGAAAAAGGAUGAUUGUAUGAGUAAGGAAAGAAGUCCAAAGGGUGUCCUAUGUGAUCAUAAAAUCCUUCCUAGUUUGAAGGAGAAGUAUACAAGACUGAAAUUCGGCUGUCUAUUAUAUAUGGCAAUGAAUGUUUGGCAGUGAAUAACUAACAAGACUAUAAAAUGAUUGUGAUAAAGAUGUGGAUGACAAAUGAAUGUGGGAAAUAUGAGAAAGGAUUGGAUUAAAAAUUAUUGCAUUUUAGGAGAGUGAAAGUUCUGCCUAUGGAGGAUAAGUUGAGGGAGGGGGUUGUUUGACAUGGUUUUGGUCAUAUCUCACGUAGAACAACAGAUGCACCGGUACAAAAAAUUGAGCAUGUCCAAGAUAAGAGGAUUGAACAACACUUGAGAAGACUGAGGAUGACCUGGGCUAAAGUAGUUGAGAAGAAAUGAACAUGGUUAAAUCUUUUUGAAAUAUGGUCCUAAACCAAGUAGAAUUGAGGAAAAAAGUUAUUUAUACAGCUGACCCAACUUGAUUGGAAUCGAGGCUGCAUUGAGUUGUAAUGAUCAUCAUCUCUUAGAUGCUGAAAUCUGGUUUCUGGCU
RNAcentral lists this unclassified non-coding RNA (595 nucleotides) under Hevea brasiliensis (rubber tree). Lineage: Eukaryota; Viridiplantae; Streptophyta; Magnoliopsida; Malpighiales; Euphorbiaceae. The record is from RNAcentral.